This is a non-coding RNA of Rhododendron molle, 73 nucleotides long. NCBI's taxonomy places the organism in Eukaryota, Viridiplantae, Streptophyta, Magnoliopsida, Ericales, Ericaceae. The record is from the annotation of a GenBank genome assembly.
CUCAGGAUAGUUCAGCUGGUUGAGCAGAGGACUGAAAAUCCUCAAAUCACUAGUUCAAAUCUGGUUCCUGACA